This is a long non-coding RNA of Nicotiana tabacum (common tobacco), 348 nucleotides long. RefSeq lists it as uncharacterized. NCBI's taxonomy places the organism in Eukaryota, Viridiplantae, Streptophyta, Magnoliopsida, Solanales, Solanaceae. The record is from RefSeq and is a predicted model, not a curated record.
GGUAAGGUCUGCGUACACACUACCCUCCUCAGACCCCAUUAGUGGGAUUAUACUGGGUUGUUGUUGUUCGAGUGAAAAAUAAAUUCAAUUUAGAUUCUAUGAUUCUUCUUGGCUACGAAGCCUCACACGAGUAGAGUUUGAUAUUCUUUUGUUGAUGGCUGACCCCGUUUGGCUACAGCGCAUUAGAGAGAGACUAGCCAUUUAGGAGUUAGACUUAGGAUGCUACUGAUCGGCUACUGAUGCAAGGCUAUAUCUUUUGGAUAUUCACCUUACAUCAUUUUCGUAUUUCCUAUAUUUCUUGUAUUGUUGUUAUUUUGUUAUUUUAUGUUAUGUAUUUUAUGUUAUUUA